GAUGAACGCUGGCGGCGUGCCUAACACAUGCAAGUCGAGCGAUUACUUCGGUAAAGAGCGGCGGACGGGUGAGUAACGCGUGGGUAAUCUGCCCUGUACACACGGAUAACAUACCGAAAGGUAUCCUAAUACGAGAUAAUAUACUUUUAUCGCAUGGUAGAAGUAUCAAAGCUCCGACGGUACGGGAUGGACCCGCGGCUGAUUAGCUAGUUGGUAAGGUAACGGCUUACCAAGGCGACGAUCAGUAGCCGACCCGGGAGGGUGAUCGGCCACAUUGGGACUGAGACACAGGCCCAACUCCUACGGGAGGCAGCAGUGGGGAAUAUUACACAAUGGGCGAAAGCCUGAUGCAGCAACGCCGCGUGAGGGAUGAAGGCCGUCGGGUCGUAAAGCUCUGUCCUCAAGGAAGAUAAUGGCGGUACGUGAGGAGCAAGCCCCGGCUAACUGCGUGCCAGCCGCCGCCGUAA
This 467-nucleotide ribosomal RNA is filed under the name uncultured bacterium. Its description in RNAcentral is "partial 16S ribosomal RNA". It matches the Rfam family "Bacterial small subunit ribosomal RNA", at positions 28 to 523 of the family's 1533-position model. The record is from RNAcentral.